Molecule: ribosomal RNA, 279 nt
Filed under: uncultured bacterium
Lineage: Bacteria
Description: partial 16S ribosomal RNA
Rfam family: Bacterial small subunit ribosomal RNA
Source: RNAcentral
UGCCAGCCGCCGCGGUAAUACGAAGGGUGCAAGCGUUGUUCGGAUUUAUUGGGCGUAAAGCGCGCGCAGGCGGAUUUAUAAGUCAGGUGUGAAAUCUCGGGGCUCAACCCCGAAACUGCGCCUGAAACUGUAAAUCUAGAAUUUCAGAGGGGGAUGGGGAAUUUCACGUGUAGGGGUAAAAUCCGUAGAGAUGUGAAGGAACACCUGGGGCGAAGGCGCCAUCCUGGAUGAACAUUGACGCUGAGGCGCGAAAGCGUGGGUAGCAAACAGGAUUAGAUA